GCACUUUUGACACACCUCCCACGUACCCACUCAAAUCACUAUCCCAUUAAACUAUAACUACAAUACAGUUCAUUACCUCAUAUUUUUUUCUAGAUUUGAAACAAUUUGGACUACACUCCCUUUCUUCCGUUCUAUUAUUAAACAAGCAUGGACGAAUAACUUACAAUUACUAUCUGCUAUAAAUUAUUUUACUAAUACAGUGCAAGAAUGGAAUACAACAACUUUUGAUAAUAUUUGUACAAGGGAAAAAAUAUAUUUGCUCGUUUUGGUUGUCUUCAAUCUUCUAUUCAUUAUUUAAUUAGCACCUUCUUGCAAUGGUGAUGCAAAUAUCAAAAGUUUUUACCUAACAACUAUAAAUCAUAGAAGAC
RNAcentral lists this long non-coding RNA (368 nucleotides) under Nicotiana benthamiana. Its description in RNAcentral is "long non-coding RNA (NBEN_LNC034093)". The record is from RNAcentral. Lineage: Eukaryota; Viridiplantae; Streptophyta; Magnoliopsida; Solanales; Solanaceae.